AGACAGAACUUGGAUUCAGACCCAGGCAGUCUGGCCCGAGUCUGUGCUUGAAACCACGGAGCUCCUCUGCCUCUCCUGAUGAGCCCUCCCCCUCCACCCCUGCAGGGGCUAGAGUCGUCAGACAGCCUUACAGCGAGUGAAGAGGCUUGGGGGCCGUGCGCUAGAUAGCCCUUUUGAGGGGGCGCCUCCGAGGCUCGGUCCUUCACCGCAAGUCCCUCCUCUCUCUCUCUCUCGUAACCCCUCCCCCCAAACAAUAACAUGAUGUGACGGGCGGCUGAUAGUCUUGCGGCCCCUUCGAUGCACCAGGCGCCCAUCCUGAGACUGGACAUGUGUUUAGUCAUUUCACCCUUAAGACAGUCCUGAGAGGAAAGGACUAUGAAUUUCCUUGUCCCGAUGGGGAAACUGAGGCUCAGAGAGCUUCUCAGGGCAACCCAGGCAGGCUGGCUCCAAUCAAUCAUUCAUUCACACCAGGGCAUCGGGGCCCUCUGAACCCCAGCCCUACCCCCAUGCUGGGAACCCGUGUCCUCCGCCACCAGGAAGGCCUCCCCCCAGCAUCCAAGAAAAGGGGGAGAAGGGGUGGGCCCGGCCUCUGUGGCAGCCCAGGCCAGCGCUCCCCCAGCCCUCCCUCCGCAGGAGCCGCCUGGCCAACGAGCUCUGAAGCCCAGAAGCCUCCACCGAAGGCAAACAAACAGACAGUGGCCUGACCUGAGCCCCGCAAGGCGCAAGGCGGAGGGAAAUGUUUUCCCAGCUGCCUCGCUUUCUCGGCACCGCUCCGCCCUGGGUCUGAUGGCUGCUCCAGCUCCAGCAAUCACAUCUCAUAUUCCAGCCAGCAGAAAGGAAGGAAGAAGAGGCAAAAGGGUACAACCCACCGGGGAAGAACAGCCACGUACUUUCUGUCACUAUGCCUCAGCACUUGCAGGCAUAUCUCUGUUCCCAUCUCCUUCCCAAAAGACAGAAGGCUUGGGGGAGCCCAGAGGAAGCUGUGAUGUCCCCUCCAGCUCAAGCCCCUGGAGGCUGGCCCCUGCCAGGAAGCAAGGCUUACCUGCUCAGACUCCCAAGGCCCUGGUGGUGGCGAGGAAAGAGACUUCCCCAGAGAAGGGAGGAUGCAAAUGGACCCCUUUUUAAAAUGCAAGCUGGGGAUCAGCCAUUCCCAGAUUCCAAUUCCUCUUUGGU
This is a long non-coding RNA of Suricata suricatta (meerkat), 1173 nucleotides long. RefSeq lists it as uncharacterized. The transcript is spliced from 3 exons. NCBI's taxonomy places the organism in Eukaryota, Metazoa, Chordata, Mammalia, Carnivora, Herpestidae. The record is from RefSeq and is a predicted model, not a curated record.